AGUCAAUAGAUACCCGGGUAGUCCACGCCGUAAACGAUGAGUACUAGGUGUAGGAGGUAUCGACUCCUUCUGUGCCGCAGUUAAACACAAUAAGUACUCCGCCUGGGAAGUACGGUCGCAAGAUUAAAACUCAAAGGAAUUGACGGGGGCCCGCACAAGCAGCGGAGCAUGUGGUUUAAUUCGAAGCAACGCGAAGAACCUUACCUAGACUUGACAUCUCCUGAAUAGUGUAGAGAUACAUGAAGCCCUUCGGGGCGAGGAAGACAGGUGGUGCAUGGUUGUCGUCAGCUCGUGUCGUGAGAUGUUGGGUUAAGUCCCGCAACGAGCGCAACCCUUAUUACUAGUUGCUACCAUUAAGUUGAGCACUCUAGUGAGACUGCCCGGGGUUAA
Molecule: ribosomal RNA, 390 nt
Filed under: uncultured bacterium
Lineage: Bacteria
Description: bacterial SSU rRNA
Rfam family: Bacterial small subunit ribosomal RNA
Source: RNAcentral